GGGGGAUAUUGCACAAUGGAGGAAACUCUGAUGCAGCAACGCCGCGUGAAGGAUGAAGGUUUUCGGAUUGUAAACUUCUUUAGUCAGGGACGAAAAAAAUGACGGUACCUGAAGAAUAAGCCACGGCUAACUACGUGCCAGCAGCCGCGGUAAUACGUAGGUGGCAAGCGUUGUCCGGAAUUACUGGGUGUAAAGGGCGUGUAGGCGGGAAUGUAAGUCAGAUGUGAAAUCCCAGGGCUUAACCCUGGAGCUGCAUCUGAAACUAUGUUUCUUGAGUGCCGGAGAGGAAAGCGGAACUCCUAGUGUAGCGGUGAAAUGCGUAGAUAUUAGGAGGAACACCAGUGGCGAAGGCGGCUUUCUGGACGGUAACUGACGCUGAGGCGCGAAAGCGUGGGUAGCAAAC
This 403-nucleotide ribosomal RNA is filed under the name uncultured bacterium. RNAcentral's name for it is "bacterial SSU rRNA". It matches the Rfam family "Bacterial small subunit ribosomal RNA", at positions 356 to 773 of the family's 1533-position model. The record is from RNAcentral.